Long non-coding RNA from Globicephala melas (long-finned pilot whale), 306 nucleotides. RefSeq lists it as uncharacterized. The record is from RefSeq and is a predicted model, not a curated record. Lineage: Eukaryota; Metazoa; Chordata; Mammalia; Artiodactyla; Delphinidae.
GUUUGGAUAACAAAUGUUGAUCCUGGGCCGCGUCCAGAGUGAUAUCUUCACUGAUGGCGAGUCCCAUUAGGAGGGGAUGGAAAUGAAAGGUGAUGCAACGUGGAGCCGGUCGUGCUACCUCCUGGUGCCUCUCGUUGGCGGAUGCAGCUGCUGCCCUCGGAAUUUGGUGAUCACCUCCAGAGCAUGGACGUCCAAUGCUCAUGACUGCCCCAGGCCCUGGAGGCUGAGGGACUCGGGCUGAUGUCCAGUGCGAGAGCUCUCGCCCAUUCAUGAGACAAAGCUUCUGGUGACGUGAAGUGUGUGACA